Long non-coding RNA from Paramacrobiotus metropolitanus, 591 nucleotides. RefSeq lists it as uncharacterized. The record is from RefSeq and is a predicted model, not a curated record. NCBI's taxonomy places the organism in Eukaryota, Metazoa, Tardigrada, Eutardigrada, Parachela, Macrobiotidae. The transcript is spliced from 3 exons.
AAACUCGAAUAAUGUAUGGUGAUACAUGAAACCUCUCGAAUUCUCAAGUUUCUGUACCCAGGAGCUUUUAAAUAAUAAUAUCAUAAGACAUAACAAAUUAUAUUCGACUGGAUGAAUGCAAGCAAAUUUCAAAAUGGCUUUGUGACAAAAAGGUGCAUCAUGAAUGGUGCUAUUUGUUCGCGUGGCAGUUUAUCACGCGCAACAUUAAUAUACGGACAUUAGGCAGACAUAAUGCAAAAAUUAUAGGAUCCACCACCGCCUGAAUACUGUAUAACUGAUCCAAAUACAGCCAAGACGGGCGUUCCAAAUGGUGGAAAAAAUUAAUGGUCCAAUACAACUGAUUUGGACCCCAUGAAACAAGAAGGCUUGUGGUCAUAACCGUUAAGGAUCCUUCCGUAGUAGGAUAGUUUUGUACAAAAUAAACGGACACACUCCCACCACCGCAAUCACCGGAAUAUCGAAGACCAGGAAGAAAUCAACAAAAAUCCAGAUGGCUUGCGCCGGGUGGGUGUCGUCCAGUCCACAAGGAUUCGAUCCCGGGAGACCGGUGACACUAUGGCCCACACACGGUUGACAGCGAUUAAGAGAUGC